Molecule: long non-coding RNA, 409 nt
Organism: Panicum virgatum (switchgrass)
Lineage: Eukaryota; Viridiplantae; Streptophyta; Magnoliopsida; Poales; Poaceae
Exons: 2
Source: RefSeq, a predicted model, not a curated record
CUCUCAUUCUACACACCACCAAGUUCUCUUUCCUCUCUUGAAGAUGUAGUGCUCCAAUGCAAAGGCGAGGCCUUGACUAGGCUAGUGCUUAGAGUAAGAGGAGGGUGAGGAGUAGUUCGGGGAAGCGUCGGGCCUGUCGGCGGUCUUCUCCGGUCUUGUACCUCUACGGAUACUGGCUUUCUUCAGUAUGAAUAAAAGUUGGAAGAAGCCAGGUAGCAGCCUGUAAGCAUCAAGCUGAUCCAAAUGUUGAUAUGGAUGAUGAUUCUAGAGUUAUUUUGGACUCAUUAGUGAUAAUAUAUCUUUGUUGUGAUGGUACAUUGUAUUGUUCUGGUAUCAUUGUGUAAUGAGCACAAUGUAAUGUUAUAUAUGGAUUUGUAAUGAAUGGAAUAGUCUGCAAUCAGAAUGCAAA